ACUUAAAUUGAAGAGUUUGAUCAUGGCUCAGAUUGAACGCUGGCGGCAGGCCUAACACAUGCAAGUCGAGCGGUAGCACAGAGAGCUUGCUCUCGGGUGACGAGCGGCGGACGGGUGAGUAAUGUCUGGGAAACUGCCUGAUGGAGGGGGAUAACUACUGGAAACGGUAGCUAAUACCGCAUAACGUCGCAAGACCAAAGUGGGGGACCUUCGGGCCUCAUGCCAUCAGAUGUGCCCAGAUGGGAUUAGCUUGUAGGUGGGGUAACGGCUCACCUAGGCGACGAUCCCUAGCUGGUCUGAGAGGAUGACCAGCCACACUGGAACUGAGACACGGUCCAGACUCCUACGGGAGGCAGCAGUGGGGAAUAUUGCACAAUGGGCGCAAGCCUGAUGCAGCCAUGCCGCGUGUGUGAAGAAGGCCUUCGGGUUGUAAAGCACUUUCAGCGGGGAGGAAGGCGGUGAGGUUAAUAACCUCAUCGAUUGACGUUACCCGCAGAAGAAGCACCGGCUAACUCCGUGCCAGCAGCCGCGGUAAUACGGAGGGUGCAAGCGUUAAUCGGAAUUACUGGGCGUAAAGCGCACGCAGGCGGUCUGUCAAGUCGGAUGUGAAAUCCCCGGGCUCAACCU
RNAcentral lists this ribosomal RNA (627 nucleotides) under Klebsiella pneumoniae. RNAcentral describes it as "bacterial SSU rRNA". It matches the Rfam family "Bacterial small subunit ribosomal RNA", at positions 1 to 615 of the family's 1533-position model. Lineage: Bacteria; Pseudomonadati; Pseudomonadota; Gammaproteobacteria; Enterobacterales; Enterobacteriaceae. The record is from RNAcentral.